Molecule: long non-coding RNA, 397 nt
Filed under: Chlamydomonas reinhardtii
Lineage: Eukaryota; Viridiplantae; Chlorophyta; Chlorophyceae; Chlamydomonadales; Chlamydomonadaceae
Description: long non-coding RNA (CREI_LNC001350)
Source: RNAcentral
CUCUGAGUUCAAUUUGUUAUUUCGUAAACAGCACCCGGAAAUGCGGGGCUCGGUCGCGUUGUUGCUGCUUGCCGGCCUAGCCCUUUGUGCAAAUGCGCAGAAUGCUAUACGGGGCCUGAACCCGGACCUAGCGGCCCACUACUCAGGGGCUGGGGGCAAGUUCACAUGCAUUUCCGGGGGCAAGACUAUUCCCUUCAAACAAGUCAAUGACGACUACUGCGAUUGCGCCGAUGGCAGCGACGAGCCUGGUAGGACGAAUUGAUUCCUUUGGACAGCGUGUGGAACCGAAAGAUGAAUCCCGAUUGCUCCAUUUACUCGACCUGCAGGCACUGCCGCGUGCCAUAAUGGACGGUUCUACUGCCGUAACCUGGGACACGAGCCCAAGCUGCUCGCGGCG